AAGACAACGACACUGCUCUUGCUCUUGUUCGCUCUCCUCCUCACGACAUCUUUAUCCAAAGACCUCUGUCACAAAGAUGACCUCUCCGGUUCGAUACCCGGUUCACUCUCUUUAUUACCUAAACUCGAGAUUCUUGACCUCAGCAGGAACAAGCUUACAGGUGAAUUACUACUCUCUCUGUCUCUAUAAGUCAUCAAUUAACCUGAGUAACAAACCAUAAAUUUUCUAACGUCAAGUUUAAACUUCCAACUAUAGGUUCGAUACCAGAGUCAUUUGGAUCCUUUAAAGGAGUGAUGUAUGCUCUUUUCCUAUCUCACAACCAGCUGUCCGGUUCUAUUCCGAAAUCAUUAGAAAACCUGGACAUUAACCAGAUUGAUCUUUCCCGGAACAAGCUUGAAGGUGACGCGUCGAUGUUGUUUGGAGCCCAAAAGACUACACAUAACAUUGACCUAUCAAGAAACAUGUUCCAGUUCAAUAUCUCCAUGGUUAAAGUCUCUAAAACAGUUAAUUUCUUGCACUUGAAUCACAACGGGCUCACAGGGACUAUCCCGAUUCAAUGGACCCAACUUGAUCUUCAGAUUUUCAAUGUUAGCUAUAACAGACUGUGUGGACGCAUCCCCCAGGGAGGGGAACUUCAGAGAUUUGAUGCUUAUGCCUAUUUACACAACAAGUGUUUGUGUGGUGCACCUCUUCAGAGUUGCAAGUGAGGUUACCGAGUAAACUUACCACAAGUAUCAAUCAAGUCUAAGGACAACUGUAUUUUCCAUUGGCAGUGAAUAAUAAAACACAUGAAGCACAUUUGAUGAAUUCAUUACAUUUUCAAAACGUAUGUGAUUUAUUGGCUAGCAACGUUCGAGUAUGUUAGAAAGUCCAUAACAUUUUAAGAAAUAUUGAUACAAAUAUAUUCUUAUACAAUUUUAAAAGUAUAAAACAUAUAUAACUUUUUAUUUAUUGGAACCAAAGCUAAUGUUUCAUUAGGCUCAUCGACUCUAGUAUGUCACCACGUCAACAUAGCAAAACCAUUAAUUGGUGAAAAGUUGUUUCCAAUAUAAAAGAUAGCUAGUGACCAUGAACAAGACCCACUAACUCUUCAGAAAAUGCUCGAGGUAUCCACCGUUUGAAGAAUAACAUAGGGUAUGAUUGGUAACGUGGACAGCGGCAACUGGAGUAAAUUAAAGUAAAAAUUAAGUGGAAAGAUAUAUAUUGUUAUUUGUUUCAGCCGGUUUACUCUUGCUUUUGUAGGGUAGAAAAAAAAUGGAAACAGCAAAUAAAAGAUUCAUUUUCUACCGUAAAGGAGUGAAAAAGUAUUUUCACCUAUUUUAUCACGAUGGAUGAUUGGAUGUAAUUGAAUGAAACUGAGAGUAAAAUAUUUUACUCUUAAUUUUUUUAACGCUAAUGAUGUCAUCCAGUUACACUCAUAGUAAAAUAAUCCAAAACUAUCAUAUUUUCAUACUAUUUUUAGAUUUUAACUAAAAAAAAUUAAGAGAUGUCUCUUAAAUAAUAGAUAUAAAAGAAAUUUCUUAACGAUGAACUGUUGGUGAAUAGAGGUCAGAGCACUCAUAACAAAAAAAAACGCUCUCUAGGAAAGGACGAUAGCAAAGGUGAUUAGGGUUUCACCACCCUUUCGCCGCCUUGGUUUCGCCUCACGCGUAUCAACGAGAAACUUCUUCGUCUUCACUCUCCUCCUCUCCGUCCAUGGCGUCGCUGGUAGCAGGUCUAGCUUCCUUUCCACGCCCUCCCUCAGAUCCGCCAGAUUUGUGUUUUAAGUUUGCUCUCCGGUCAAAUCCUCCAGAUCCUCCGGUUCCUCCUGACCCUCCGCCUGAUAUUCUAUCAGUCAUGGGGUUUCUUCAGUUGUACAAUCUCUGGGCCACCGUUGGCUUUCCCCAUAAGUUCUCAGAUCCAAAGUUAUGCUUGACGAUUUCAGAUGGUGGGCUAGCCUCAGAUAAAGAUUUGUUCUUCCCGGAUGGAACAGUCUUUGUACUUACUCCCCUAUACCAAGUAAGCUCAGACUCUUUACCCUACGCUUCCGAGUGUGGUUGGAUUAUCAGUGUGUGGGUAGAGCUGGUCUUAUUGGAUCUGAGAUUUUCCGUUCUAGUUCCGACUGUUUCGGUUGCAUUUGGUUAUGCUAUUGUGGCCUUUGUUGGUACCUUUGUGGUCUGUGUAUGGUCCAUUACUGCAGUAUGCAGAUGUUGUCCCUUUACUGCAGUAUGCAGGUUUACUUCCACCUUUGCUCUAAUGGCUUUUGAAAUGACAUGGCAUUCUCUCCUCAUGUGGCAAUUUGGAGUGAAAGUUCUGAAGUUGUGUAUCCUUUCAGCAAAUCUGGUUUGUUUAGGCUCUCUUUGUCCUCCCUAUUCCUUUAAGGAGUGUUUCAUCCUCCCACAUCGAUCACUUGUUAUAAGUGAAAUUGUUAUAGGGAGCAUUGUGUUGAAGAUGGUUCUGUUUGUAGCAGAAGCGAAGAUGUCUAUCGUCUCUCGUUUUGAUGGUGUUAACUGUCUGACCUCAUUGACCAUGGAGGCUUUUAUCCCUCCCCUUUAUUGUUUCGAUCAGGAAUGUCAAUUUGAAGAAGUCUUCUGGUCUGACUUGCCUUUCUCGGAGAAAACGGUGGUUGAACGUGUGAUAUCACCUUUAUCAAGUCUUUGCUUGAGUACUUGUUGUUUAAGCUUUACCAUUUGCCUGUCCAGUAUAUUGGUCUGUGCUUUAGUUUCUUUGGCUCUUUGUAGCCUUGUUGUAUCCUCCACUAGUGGAGUUAAACUCUUUUAAGUUUUAAUGGAAGUAAGUUUGAUCAAAAAAAAAAAAAAAAAUUUCUUAACUAAUUUCUUAACUUUUUUUAGUUAAAAGCUAAAAUACUAUAUUUUAUAUUAUGAUAAGAAUUUUAACCUAAGAAACAUACAAUAAACAUGCUCUAAUAGUAACAACUAACUCUUAAGUUCGGACAUUGUUUUCAAACUUCCGGUUUAGUAAUCCAGUCAAUUGAACCUGACCGGAAAUUGGUCCAUGGGUUCACGCACCACCUGUUUAACCCAUCAAAAUACUUUAUUUUAAAGACCAACAACCGAACUUAUUUAACACGUGGUCUAGUCAGCAAUAUUAAUAACAACAAAAACAGUACCCUACCAUGUUUCUAAUUGGUUGCGUAUAUAUCAUCACGGGUUUCCACUUAAGCUCAAACACAAACACAACACACUAUGGAGGGUAAGACAACGACACUGCUCUUGCUCUUGUUCACUCUCCUCCUCACGACAUCUUUAUCCAAAGAUCUCUGUCACAAAGAUGACAAAAACACCCUCCUCAAGAUCAAGAAAGCCAUGAACGACCCUUACACCAUCAUCUCCUGGGACCCCAAGGACGAUUGCUGCACCUGGUACGCCGUUGAGUGCGGCAACGCAUCUAUUAACCACCGCGUCACUUCUCUAGACAUAUCAAACGACGACGUCUCCGCUCAGAUCCCAC
Molecule: long non-coding RNA, 3450 nt
Filed under: Brassica rapa (field mustard)
Lineage: Eukaryota; Viridiplantae; Streptophyta; Magnoliopsida; Brassicales; Brassicaceae
Description: long non-coding RNA (BRAP_LNC001691)
Source: RNAcentral